GCUGAGGCUGCAGGGGAGUCUCAUGUUGUGAGACUGAGGAGAGCGUCUCUGGAGUUGGUUCUCUGCAGGCGAGACUCGGAUAUAGGAACUAACAAGACGGACACAUCCUUUCUGUCAAAGGACUUCCAUAGGAAAACCUUUUGGUUGGAAAUGUACUGGGGACUGCACGACUGGAUACAAAGAGCGGGCUGGUCACCUGGAGACGGGGUGCCGCUGCGGCAUGACACGGAGCUGUUCGCCAACGGUGGCUGUGGACCUGUGGACUCCGUUGAAGGAGCAGCCCUGCGCCGUACAGUUGGUGAAGUCGAACAGCUCGCGGACCAGCUCCCGGCACCUGUCUGAGUCGGGGCUCCCCACAAAGAUGAUCUGC
Gadus macrocephalus (Pacific cod) is the source of this 370-nucleotide long non-coding RNA. RefSeq lists it as uncharacterized. Lineage: Eukaryota; Metazoa; Chordata; Actinopteri; Gadiformes; Gadidae. The transcript has 2 exons. The record is from RefSeq and is a predicted model, not a curated record.